CCUACGGGUGACAGCAGUGAGGAAUAUUGGUCAAUGGUCGGGAGACUGAACCAGCCAAGCCGCGUGAGGGAGGAAGGUACAGAGUAUCGUAAACCUCUUUUGUCAGGGAACAAAGGCGGGGACGUGUCCCCGGAUGAGUGUACCUGAAGAAAAAGCAUCGGCUAACUCCGUGCCAGCAGCCGCGGUAAUACGGAGGAUGCGAGCGUUAUCCGGAUUUAUUGGGUUUAAAGGGUGCGCAGGCGGUCUGUUAAGUCAGCGGUAAACGCCCGGGGCUCAACCCCGGCCCGCCGUUGAAACUGGCAGUCUCGAGGUGGAUAGAAGUAUGCGGAAUGCGCGGUGUAGCGGUGAAAUGCAUAGAGAUCGCGAAGAACUCCGAUUGCGAAGGCAGCAUGCGGGCUCCACACUGACGCUGAGGCACGAAAGCGUGGGUAUCGAACAGGAGUAGAUACACGAGUAGUC
This 459-nucleotide ribosomal RNA is filed under the name uncultured bacterium. RNAcentral's name for it is "partial 16S ribosomal RNA". It matches the Rfam family "Bacterial small subunit ribosomal RNA", at positions 338 to 795 of the family's 1533-position model. The record is from RNAcentral.